GGGUCAGUAGGUUGGUCGUGCCACCGGUACGUACUGGUCUCACUGAUUCCUCCUUCCUCAAGAACCGUAAUGCCAUUAAUUUGGUGUUGCGGGGAAACAGGACUGUUACUUUGAAAAAAUUAGAGUGUUUAAAGCAAGCAAACGCUUGAAUACAUUAGCAUGGAAUAAUGAAAUAGGACGAUCGAUCCUAUUUUGUUGGUUUCUAGGAUUGACGUA
Molecule: ribosomal RNA, 216 nt
Filed under: Glomeromycotina sp.
Lineage: Eukaryota; Fungi; Glomeromycota
Description: partial small subunit ribosomal RNA
Rfam family: Eukaryotic small subunit ribosomal RNA (bases 40-216)
Source: RNAcentral